AUGUACAUGAGGGUCCCUGCUCAGCUCCUGGAGCUCCUGCUGCUCUGGCUCCCAGGUGCCAUAUGUGAUGUCCAGAUGACCCAGUCUCCAUCCUCCCUGUCUGCAUCUCUAGGAAGACAGAUCAACAUCACUUGCUGGACAAGUCAGGGCAUUAGCAGUUGGUUAGCCUGGUGUCAACAGAAACCGGGAAAAGCUCCUAAGCUUUUGAUCUGUAGUGCAUCCACUAUACAACAGUCGUACAACACUCGAGUUCCUUUGAGAUUCAGUGGCAGUGUGUCUGGGGAAGAUUUUACUCUCAUCGUAAGCAGUCUGGAGCCUGAAGAUGUCGCAACUUAUUACUGUAAACAGCAUAGCAGUAUCCCUCCCGCAGUGUUACAAGUCAUGACAUAG
Galeopterus variegatus (Sunda flying lemur) is the source of this 390-nucleotide non-coding RNA. Lineage: Eukaryota; Metazoa; Chordata; Mammalia; Dermoptera; Cynocephalidae. The record is from the annotation of a RefSeq genome assembly.